UUAAACUUCUGCUUUGUGCUGUGAGGGAGCCUGGACUAUGUGGAAUGUCUAAAUGAAGACCAACAUGCACUACAGAGGCUAGACCAGUACUUGUGGGUAGGAGUAAUCUGUUCAUUUACUUUGAGACCACUUUCAAAUGUACAAAGAAAUGCAUUUGAGAUAUGUUUGCUUGAGCCUAGACGUUCCUCUCUGUCUCAGAAGGCCUUUACCCCAACUAUCUCUCUCCAAGUUCGGAUCAUGUUGAGGUUUUUGGCAUUGGUGACCUUUUCAUUGUGAAACUGGUGAUUUGUGUGGUGCCAGUGAAGCAACUGUGUGUACAAUAGUUCAAAGUCUGCGGGGGCCAUUUUGUGAACUGAGGAGUCUUUACAUCCAGGUCUUUACAACCUGUUCACAUUACAGCCUUACUGUGUACUGGCUCUUCCAACCUGUUCACAUUACACCCUCACUGUGUACUGGCUCUUCCAACCUGUUCACAUUACACCCUCACUGUGUACUGGCUCUUCCAACCUGUUCACAUUACACCCUCACUGUGUACUGGCUCUUCCAACCUGUUCACAUUACACCCUCACUGUGUACUGGCUCUUCCAACCUGUUCACAUUACACCCUCACUGUGUACUGGCUCUUCCAACCUGUUCACAUUACACCCUCACUGUGUACUGGCUCUUCCAACCUGUUCACAUUACACCCUCACUGUGUACUGGCUCUUCCAACCUGUUCACAUUACACCCUCACUGUGUACUGGCUCUUCCAACCUGUUCACAUUACACCCUCACUGUGUACUGGCUCUUCCAACCUGUUCACAUUCCACCCUCACUGUGUACCGGCUCUUCCAACCUGUUCACAUUACAGCCUCACUGUGUACCGGCUCUUCCAACCUGUUCACAUUACACCCUCACUGUGUACUGGCUCUUCCAACCUGUUCACAUUACACCCUCACUGUGUACUGGCUCUUCCAACCUGUUCACAUUACACCCUCACUGUGUACUGGCUCUUCCAACCUGUUCACAUUACACCCUCACUGUGUACUGGCUCUUCCAACCUGUUCACAUUACACCCUCACUGUGUACUGGCUCUUCCAACCUGUUCACAUUACACCCUCACUGUGUACUGGCUCUUCCAACCUGUUCACAUUACACCCUCACUGUGUACUGGCUCUUCCAACCUGUUCACAUUACACCCUCACUGUGUACUGGCUCUUCCAACCUGUUCACCUUCCACCCUCACUGUGUACUGGCUCUUCCAACCUGUUCACCUUCCACCCUCACUGUGUACUGGCUCUUCCAACCUGUUCACAUUACAGCCUCACUGUGUACUGGCUCUUCCAACCUGUUCACAUUACAGCCUCACUGUGUACUGGCUCUUCCAACCUGUUCACAUUACAGCCUCACUGUGUACUGGCUCUUCCAACCUGUUCACAUUACAGCCUCACUGUGUACUGGCUCUUCCAACCUGUUCACAUUACACCCUCACUGUG
This 1475-nucleotide long non-coding RNA is filed under the name Oncorhynchus kisutch (coho salmon). Its description in RNAcentral is "lncRNA (ENSOKIG00005035241.1)". Lineage: Eukaryota; Metazoa; Chordata; Actinopteri; Salmoniformes; Salmonidae. The record is from RNAcentral.